RNAcentral lists this long non-coding RNA (458 nucleotides) under Chinchilla lanigera (long-tailed chinchilla). RNAcentral's name for it is "lncRNA (ENSCLAG00000028823.1)". Lineage: Eukaryota; Metazoa; Chordata; Mammalia; Rodentia; Chinchillidae. The record is from RNAcentral.
UUGUUAAUAGCUAAACAUUGAAUUUCUUGCCUAAGGACUCUGGAAAUCUCCUUUAACUGUGCUGAGGAACACGACCAGAAGAGAUCAGAAGGAGAAUGAUGUACCGCACAGCACGUAAGGACAGUAAACUCCACGGUGAGGCUUCUCCUGUCUCUCUCCAGAACUAUGCCUCUUCUUGUGUGGAUACAUUGCUGGGCAUGCCAGAGUCCCCUCAGUCAUCGUCUGAGCACCUUCAAUUGGAUUUUUCAGCACAUUUCACUCUUUACACAAGAAUGACAAGAUUCUGGCAAGCAGCUAAGAGUUAGGUAAAAAUUUUGGCAUCAAGCAGAAUUCAAGUAAUCUUUCACUCAAGACAAGAGGAAUACAGGAAGAAUGCUACCAUGUCCUGGAAAGUAUGCUAUUCAUCUCCUUUCUUAAUCACUGGAUUAUUUUUCUGCUACUUCCAUUUUGCAAGCACA